AUGCAAGUCGAACGGUAACAUUUCUAGCUUGCUAGAAGAUGACGAGUGGCGGACGGGUGAGUAAUGCUUGGGAACUUGCCUUUGCGAGGGGGAUAACAGUUGGAAACGACUGCUAAUACCGCAUAAUGUCUACGGACCAAACGGGGCUUAGGCUCCGGCGCAAAGAGAGGCCCAAGUGAGAUUAGCUAGUUGGUAAGGUAAAGGCUUACCAAGGCGACGAUCUCUAGCUGUUCUGAGAGGAAGAUCAGCCACACUGGGACUGAGACACGGCCCAGACUCCUACGGGAGGCAGCAGUGGGGAAUAUUGCACAAUGGGGGAAACCCUGAUGCAGCCAUGCCGCGUGUGUGAAGAAGGCCUUCGGGUUGUAAAGCACUUUCAGUUGUGAGGAAAAGUUAGUAGUUAAUACCUGCUAGCCGUGACGUUAACAACAGAAGAAGCACCGGCUAACUCCGUGCCAGCAGCCGCGGUAAUACGGAGGGUGCGAGCGUUAAUCGGAAUUACUGGGCGUAAAGCGCACGCAGGCGGUUUGUUAAGCUAGAUGUGAAAGCCCCGGGCU
This 557-nucleotide ribosomal RNA is filed under the name uncultured bacterium. RNAcentral describes it as "bacterial SSU rRNA". It matches the Rfam family "Bacterial small subunit ribosomal RNA", at positions 55 to 609 of the family's 1533-position model. The record is from RNAcentral.